RNAcentral lists this ribosomal RNA (1340 nucleotides) under Microbacterium paraoxydans. Its description in RNAcentral is "bacterial SSU rRNA". It matches the Rfam family "Bacterial small subunit ribosomal RNA", at positions 93 to 1444 of the family's 1533-position model. The record is from RNAcentral. Lineage: Bacteria; Bacillati; Actinomycetota; Actinomycetes; Micrococcales; Microbacteriaceae.
CAGUGGCGAACGGGUGAGUAACACGUGAGCAACCUGCCCCUGACUCUGGGAUAAGCGCUGGAAACGGCGUCUAAUACUGGAUAUGUGACGUGACCGCAUGGUCUGCGUUUGGAAAGAUUUUUCGGUUGGGGAUGGGCUCGCGGCCUAUCAGCUUGUUGGUGAGGUAAUGGCUCACCAAGGCGUCGACGGGUAGCCGGCCUGAGAGGGUGACCGGCCACACUGGGACUGAGACACGGCCCAGACUCCUACGGGAGGCAGCAGUGGGGAAUAUUGCACAAUGGGCGAAAGCCUGAUGCAGCAACGCCGCGUGAGGGAUGACGGCCUUCGGGUUGUAAACCUCUUUUAGCAGGGAAGAAGCGAAAGUGACGGUACCUGCAGAAAAAGCGCCGGCUAACUACGUGCCAGCAGCCGCGGUAAUACGUAGGGCGCAAGCGUUAUCCGGAAUUAUUGGGCGUAAAGAGCUCGUAGGCGGUUUGUCGCGUCUGCUGUGAAAUCCCGAGGCUCAACCUCGGGCCUGCAGUGGGUACGGGCAGACUAGAGUGCGGUAGGGGAGAUUGGAAUUCCUGGUGUAGCGGUGGAAUGCGCAGAUAUCAGGAGGAACACCGAUGGCGAAGGCAGAUCUCUGGGCCGUAACUGACGCUGAGGAGCGAAAGGGUGGGGAGCAAACAGGCUUAGAUACCCUGGUAGUCCACCCCGUAAACGUUGGGAACUAGUUGUGGGGUCCAUUCCACGGAUUCCGUGACGCAGCUAACGCAUUAAGUUCCCCGCCUGGGGAGUACGGCCGCAAGGCUAAAACUCAAAGGAAUUGACGGGGACCCGCACAAGCGGCGGAGCAUGCGGAUUAAUUCGAUGCAACGCGAAGAACCUUACCAAGGCUUGACAUAUACGAGAACGGGCCAGAAAUGGUCAACUCUUUGGACACUCGUAAACAGGUGGUGCAUGGUUGUCGUCAGCUCGUGUCGUGAGAUGUUGGGUUAAGUCCCGCAACGAGCGCAACCCUCGUUCUAUGUUGCCAGCACGUAAUGGUGGGAACUCAUGGGAUACUGCCGGGGUCAACUCGGAGGAAGGUGGGGAUGACGUCAAAUCAUCAUGCCCCUUAUGUCUUGGGCUUCACGCAUGCUACAAUGGCCGGUACAAAGGGCUGCAAUACCGUGAGGUGGAGCGAAUCCCAAAAAGCCGGUCCCAGUUCGGAUUGAGGUCUGCAACUCGACCUCAUGAAGUCGGAGUCGCUAGUAAUCGCAGAUCAGCAACGCUGCGGUGAAUACGUUCCCGGGUCUUGUACACACCGCCCGUCAAGUCAUGAAAGUCGGUAACACCUGAAGCCGGUGGCCUAACCCUUG